RNAcentral lists this ribosomal RNA (1318 nucleotides) under Lactiplantibacillus plantarum. Its description in RNAcentral is "bacterial SSU rRNA". It matches the Rfam family "Bacterial small subunit ribosomal RNA", at positions 69 to 1378 of the family's 1533-position model. Lineage: Bacteria; Bacillati; Bacillota; Bacilli; Lactobacillales; Lactobacillaceae. The record is from RNAcentral.
GCAUCAUGAUUUACAUUUGAGUGAGUGGCGAACUGGUGAGUAACACGUGGGAAACCUGCCCAGAAGCGGGGGAUAACACCUGGAAACAGAUGCUAAUACCGCAUAACAACUUGGACCGCAUGGUCCGAGUUUGAAAGAUGGCUUCGGCUAUCACUUUUGGAUGGUCCCGCGGCGUAUUAGCUAGAUGGUGGGGUAACGGCUCACCAUGGCAAUGAUACGUAGCCGACCUGAGAGGGUAAUCGGCCACAUUGGGACUGAGACACGGCCCAAACUCCUACGGGAGGCAGCAGUAGGGAAUCUUCCACAAUGGACGAAAGUCUGAUGGAGCAACGCCGCGUGAGUGAAGAAGGGUUUCGGCUCGUAAAACUCUGUUGUUAAAGAAGAACAUAUCUGAGAGUAACUGUUCAGGUAUUGACGGUAUUUAACCAGAAAGCCACGGCUAACUACGUGCCAGCAGCCGCGGUAAUACGUAGGUGGCAAGCGUUGUCCGGAUUUAUUGGGCGUAAAGCGAGCGCAGGCGGUUUUUUAAGUCUGAUGUGAAAGCCUUCGGCUCAACCGAAGAAGUGUCGGAAACUGGGAAACUUGAGUGCAGAAGAGGACAGUGGAACUCCAUGUGUAGCGGUGAAAUGCGUAGAUAUAUGGAAGAACACCAGUGGCGAAGGCGGCUGUCUGGUCUGUAACUGACGCUGAGGCUCGAAAGUAUGGGUAGCAAACAGGAUUAGAUACCCUGGUAGUCCAUACCGUAAACGAUGAAUGCUAAGUGUUGGAGGGUUUCCGCCCUUCAGUGCUGCAGCUAACGCAUUAAGCAUUCCGCCUGGGGAGUACGGCCGCAAGGCUGAAACUCAAAGGAAUUGACGGGGGCCCGCACAAGCGGUGGAGCAUGUGGUUUAAUUCGAAGCUACGCGAAGAACCUUACCAGGUCUUGACAUACUAUGCAAAUCUAAGAGAUUAGACGUUCCCUUCGGGGACAUGGAUACAGGUGGUGCAUGGUUGUCGUCAGCUCGUGUCGUGAGAUGUUGGGUUAAGUCCCGCAACGAGCGCAACCCUUAUUAUCAGUUGCCAGCAUUAAGUUGGGCACUCUGGUGAGACUGCCGGUGACAAACCGGAGGAAGGUGGGGAUGACGUCAAAUCAUCAUGCCCCUUAUGACCUGGGCUACACACGUGCUACAAUGGAUGGUACAACGAGUUGCGAACUCGCGAGAGUAAGCUAAUCUCUUAAAGCCAUUCUCAGUUCGGAUUGUAGGCUGCAACUCGCCUACAUGAAGUCGGAAUCGCUAGUAAUCGCGGAUCAGCAUGCCGCGGUGAAUACGUUCCCGGG